Molecule: transfer-messenger RNA, 355 nt
Filed under: bovine gut metagenome
Rfam family: transfer-messenger RNA
About the family: Bacterial tmRNA, also known as 10Sa RNA or SsrA, is named for its dual tRNA and mRNA-like properties. Its role is to liberate the mRNA from a stalled ribosome.
Source: RNAcentral
GGGGGCGAAAUGGUUUCGACUGCCUAGGCAGAUCGCGGGUGGCAUGCAGAGGAUGAUCGUAGGCCUCUUUAAUCAUCGGUCAAAAAAAUAACUGCGAACAAUCAAGAAUUCGCCCUCGCUGCUUAGUCCAGCGACGUCUUCACCUGGAUGUCUAUUAAGGGAUGAAGGCGUACGGAGUAGACUGGUCAUGAAGCCGUGCCAACGGGCCGAUUGACGAGACCUGACAGAUGGCUGCUUCUUCCGGUGUGUGUGGACGCCACCGACCCGGAAGACUAAGAUUGAAUCGCGUCCUAAGCAUGUAGAGGCCUUCGGGACGUCUUUGUAGGACCCGGGUUCAACUCCCGGCGCCUCCAUC